GACGGACGCUGGCGGCGUGCUUAACACAUGCAAGUCGAACGGUAAGGCCCUUCGGGGUACACGAGUGGCGAACGGGUGAGUAACACGUGGGUGAUCUGCCCUGCACUUCGGGAUAAGCCUGGGAAACUGGGUCUAAUACCGGAUAGGACCACUGCCUGCAUGGGUGGUGGUGGAAAGCUUUUGCGGUGUGGGAUGGGCCCGCGGGCUAUCAGCUUGUUGGUGGGGUGAUGGCCUACCAAGGCGACGACGGGUAGCCGGCCGGAGAGGGUGACCGGCCACACUGGGACUGAGAUACGGCCCAGACUCCUACGGGAGGCAGCAGUGGGGAAUAUUGCACAAUGGGCGCAAGCCUGAUGCAGCGACGCCGCGUGAGGGAUGACGGCCUUCGGGUUGUAAACCUCUUUCAGCACCGACGAAGCGCAAGUGACGGUAGGUGCAGAAGAAGGACCGGCCAACUACGUGCCAGCAGCAGCCGCGG
Molecule: ribosomal RNA, 478 nt
Filed under: uncultured bacterium
Lineage: Bacteria
Description: partial 16S ribosomal RNA
Rfam family: Bacterial small subunit ribosomal RNA
Source: RNAcentral